RNAcentral lists this ribosomal RNA (427 nucleotides) under uncultured bacterium. RNAcentral's name for it is "partial 16S ribosomal RNA". It matches the Rfam family "Bacterial small subunit ribosomal RNA", at positions 355 to 774 of the family's 1533-position model. The record is from RNAcentral.
UGGGGAAUAUUGCACAAUGGGCGCAAGCCUGAUGCAGCCAUGCCGCGUGUAUGAAGAAGGCCUUCGGGUUGUAAAGUACUUUCAGCGAGGAGGAAGGCGGUAAGGUUAAUAACCUUAUCGAUUGACGUUACUCGCAGAAGAAGCACCGGCUAACUCCGUGCCAGCAGCCGCGGUAAUACGGAGGGUGCAAGCGUUAAUCGGAAUUACUGGGCGUAAAGCGCACGCAGGCGGGCUGUCAAGUCGGAUGUGAAAUCCCCGGGCUCAACCGGGGAACUGCAUUCGAAACUGGCAGGCUAGAGUCUUGUAGAGGGGGGUAGAAUUCCAGGUGUAGCGGUGAAAUGCGUAGAGAUCUGGAGGAAUACCGGUGGCGAAGGCGGCCCCCUGGACAAAGACUGACGCUCAGGUGCGAAAGCGUGGGGAGCAAACA